RNAcentral lists this long non-coding RNA (824 nucleotides) under Selaginella moellendorffii. RNAcentral's name for it is "long non-coding RNA (SMOE_LNC000942)". Lineage: Eukaryota; Viridiplantae; Streptophyta; Lycopodiopsida; Selaginellales; Selaginellaceae. The record is from RNAcentral.
AGUGUGAAUAGUACUGGCUGGAUGACCUCCCGGGAAGUCCAAACUCAGGAGCUUACAUUUGGUAUCAGAGAGGUCUCAUGUCCGACUCUGUUGGUUGGCUAAGGGAAUCACACCACAUGUUGAUUGACAUCUGGCUGGUCUAGUUUGCUCUUGGGAGAGCUGCGGCUCUCAGCUUCCAUUCACGAGGGCGUGAACUUGCAGGGAAGCGUGGUGGAUUGUAAGCAACCAAAGGGAACGACUUGAGAGAUGAUCCAUGGGGUUCAAAUAUAGAGGAAAAGGGCCCAUGAACAAGAGUGCACCCCCUUUUCCAAUCGGUUAAGGGUCUUGGGAUAGUUGGGGUUAAGUGUCCUUGAGUGUGAAUAGUACUGGGCUGGAUGACCUCUCGGGAAGUCCAAACUCAGGAGCUUACAGAAUAAUACUGGGUUGGGUGACCUCCCGGGAAGUCCAAAUUUAAGAGCUUACAUUUGGUAUCAGAGGGGUCUCAAGUCCAACUCUGUUGGUUGGCUAAGGGAAUCACACCACAAGUUUAUUGACAUCUGGCUGGUCCAAUUUACUCCCGCUGGGCUCGACCCGAGGGGUAGGGUGUCAAGAGAGUGGGGCUCUCGGGAGAGCUACGGCUUUCAGCUUCCGUUCACGAGGGUGUGAACUUGCAGGGAAGCGUGGUGGAUUGUAAGCAACCAAAGAGAACGACUUGAGAGACGAUCCAUGGGGUUCAAAUAUAGAGGGGAAGCAUGAUAAAUUGUAAGCAACCAAAGAGAACGACUUGAGAGACGAUCCAUAGGGUUCAAAUAUAGAGGGAAAGGGCCCAUGAAUAAGAGUGCACC